This 301-nucleotide ribosomal RNA is filed under the name uncultured bacterium. Its description in RNAcentral is "partial 16S ribosomal RNA". It matches the Rfam family "Bacterial small subunit ribosomal RNA", at positions 509 to 807 of the family's 1533-position model. The record is from RNAcentral.
CAGUAGCCGCGGGAAUACGUAGGGUGCAAGCGUUAAUCGGAAUUACUGGGCGUAAAGCGUGCGCAGGCGGUUAUAUAAGACAGAUGUGAAAUCCCCGGGCUCAACCUGGGAACUGCAUUUGUGACUGUAUAGCUAGAGUACGGCAGAGGGGGAUGGAAUUCCGCGUGUAGCAGUGAAAUGCGUAGAUAUGCGGAGGAACACCGAUGGCGAAGGCAAUCCCCUGGGCCUGUACUGACGCUUAUGCACGAAAGCGUGGGGAGCAAACAGGAUUAGAGACCCGUGUAGUCCCUGUCUCUUAUAC